AUUGAACGCUGGCGGCAUGCUUUACACAUGCAAGUCGAACGGUAACAGGGUGCUUGCACCGCUGACGAGUGGCGAACGGGUGAGUAAUGCGUCGGAACGUGCCGAGUAGUGGGGGAUAACGCAGCGAAAGCUGUGCUAAUACCGCAUACGUACUGAGGUAGAAAGUGGGGGACCUUCGGGCCUCAGGCGAUUCCAGCGGCCGACUUCUGAUUAGCGGGUAGGGGAGGUAGAGGCUAACCUAGGCGACGAUCAGUAGCGGGUCUGGGAGGACGAUCCGCCACACUGGGGCUGAGACACGGCCCAGACUCCUACGGGAGGCAGCAGUGGGGAAUUUUGGACAAUGGGCGAAAGCCUGAUCCAGCCAUGCCGCGUGUCUGAAGAAGGCCUUCGGGUUGUAAAGGACUUUUGUCAGGGAGGAAAUCCCUAGUGCUAAUAACACUGGGGGAUGACAGUACCUGAAGAAUAAGCACCGGCUAACUACGUGCCAGCCGCCGCCGUAA
RNAcentral lists this ribosomal RNA (500 nucleotides) under uncultured bacterium. RNAcentral describes it as "partial 16S ribosomal RNA". It matches the Rfam family "Bacterial small subunit ribosomal RNA", at positions 29 to 523 of the family's 1533-position model. The record is from RNAcentral.